CCUGAUCCGAAGCCGAGUUCUGCCAGCGGAUCAGGUGGAUUAGUCCAUUCACUGGCAGAAACGGAGGAACCACCAUCGGCUGUCGAAAGACGGCCUUGGGGUGAAGUCCGUAGCGGAAGUGCAAACAACGCAAGGCCCUCCGGGUACCUUGCGUUUCGUGCCCUUCGCGCGGACCGGGUCCACGAUCUCUCUGGCCCGAAUCCGACAGCUAACUUCGCAGGCUUGCCAGAGAGGAAAA
RNAcentral lists this small RNA (238 nucleotides) under Arthrobacter sp. Its description in RNAcentral is "c-di-AMP sequence". It matches the Rfam family "c-di-AMP riboswitch aptamer (ydaO/yuaA leader)". Rfam says of the family: This family represents a conserved RNA structure found upstream of the ydaO and yuaA genes in Bacillus subtilis and related genes in other bacteria. The ydaO/yuaA element is thought to act as a genetic "off" switch for the ydaO and yuaA genes in its native state. The record is from RNAcentral. Lineage: Bacteria; Bacillati; Actinomycetota; Actinomycetes; Micrococcales; Micrococcaceae.